CCUACGGGUGGCAGCAGUGAGGAAUAUUGGGCAAUGGAGGAAACUCUGACCCAGCAAUGCCGCGUGAAUGAAGAAGGUCUUCGGAUUGUAAAGUUCUUUAGUCAGGGAAGAAGUCAAUGACGGUACCUGAAGAAUAAGCUCCGGCUAACUACGUGCCAGCAGCCGCGGUAAUACGUAGGGAGCAAGCGUUGUUCGGAAUGACUGGGCGUAAAGGGUGCGUAGGCGGUUGUACAAGUUAGAAGUGAAAUACCCAGGGCUUAACUCGGGUGCUGCUUCUAAAACUGUAUGACUUGAGUGCAGUAGAGGUGAGUGGAAGUCCUAGGGUAGCGGGGGAAUGCGUAGAGAUUAGGAGGAACACCAGAGGCGAAGGCGGCUAACUGGACUGCAACGGACGCUGAGGCACGAAAGUGUGGGGAGCAAACAGGAUUAGAUACCCGUGUAGUC
Molecule: ribosomal RNA, 444 nt
Filed under: uncultured bacterium
Lineage: Bacteria
Description: partial 16S ribosomal RNA
Rfam family: Bacterial small subunit ribosomal RNA
Source: RNAcentral